RNAcentral lists this ribosomal RNA (510 nucleotides) under uncultured bacterium. RNAcentral describes it as "bacterial SSU rRNA". It matches the Rfam family "Bacterial small subunit ribosomal RNA", at positions 353 to 858 of the family's 1533-position model. The record is from RNAcentral.
AGCUAAGAAUCUUCCGCAAUGGACGAAAGUCUGACGGAGCGACGCCGCGUGAACGAUGAAGGCCGUGAGGUUGUAAAGUUCUUUUCCGAGGGGAGAAUAAGGAUGGCAGGGAAUGGCCGUCUGAUGACGUGAACUCGGGAAUAAGCCCCGGCUAACUACGUGCCAGCAGCCGCGGUAACACGUAGGGGGCGAGCGUUGUUCGGAAUCAUUGGGCGUAAAGGGUGCGCAGGCGGUGAUGCAAGUCUGGUGUGAAAGAUCUCGGCUCAACCGAGGGACCGCGCUGGAAACUGUGUUACUAGAGUACAGGAGGGGGAGUUGGAAUUCCAGGUGUAGGGGUGAAAUCUGUAGAUAUCUGGAAGAACACCGGUGGCGAAGGCGAACUUCUGGCCAUGUACUGACGCUGAGGCACGAAGGCGUGGGGAGCAAACAGGUUUAGAUACCCUGGUAGUCCACGCAGUAAACGAUGUACACUAGGUGGUGGGUGGUAGCACUCAGUACCGAAGCUAACGC